GUACACGCUGUGACUAGCAUAUCAAUAAGCGGAGGAAAAGAAAGAUGCGGAGGGUAGCGAGGCAUGGAAUCCCGAGGGUGUGGUGCCCCGCGCUAUUCGAGCGAUCAAGGCGGCGGUGCCCGAGAUGGCAGUGAUGACGGAUGUGGCAUCGGAUCCCUUCAAUACCUACGCUUAGGAUGUUGACACACGCGCGUGCUCGGCUCUAUACAUGACUCUGUGCAUAUCAAUAAGCGGAGGAAAAGGCUGCGGAACUGAACGACCGCUACCUACGCUUAGGAUGUUGACGCGCGUGUGUGCGUGAGUCUAUACAUGACUCUGUGCAUAUCAAUAAGCGGAGGAAAAGAAACUAACAAGGAUCCCCCUAGUAACGGCGAGUGAAGCGGGAAGAGCUCAAAUUUGAAAUCUUAAAGGGUUUCCCUUUACGAAUUGUAGUUUAAAGAAGUGUUUUCUGUUGAGGUUUUGGUAAAAGUUCUUUGGAAUAGGACAUCAUAGAGGGUGAGAAUCCCGUAUUUGGUCAUUCCUUCUAGCUUUGUGAUACACUUUCAAAGAGUCGGAUUGUUUGGGAAUGCAGUCCAAAAUGGGUGGUAAAUUUCAUCUAAAGCUAAAUAUUGGCGAGAGACCGAUAGCGAACAAGUACCGUGAGGGAAAGAUGAAAAGAACUUUGAAAAGAGAGUUAAACAGUACGUGAAAUUGUCAAAAGGGAAGCGUUUGACACCAGUGUUGUUUUUCUGAAAAUCAAUUAAAGAACUGUUUAUGCUAAGUUGUUUAGACUUUAUCAGCUAUCUGCUUAGUUUUGAGCUUUUCUUUAAUGCACUUUUCAGUUAACAAGUCAACAUCAAUUUCUUUUGCUGUAAAAAAGCUUGAGGAAGGUGGCUUGAGAUUCGUCUUAAGUGUUUAUAGCCUCUUGCCUAUGCAGUCGGAGAGAUUGAGGUCUGCAGCGUAGAUCCUUCGGGGCUAAAUGCAUUUGUGCUAAGUUAUAGCAUUUUAUAGACAACUUGUUGACUAUGAUUUGUCUUGUAGCUUACUCGCUUAUGUUAUUUUACCUACGCUUAGGAUGUUGAUAUGCAUGACUGAUAU
This 1077-nucleotide ribosomal RNA is filed under the name uncultured Neocallimastigales. Its description in RNAcentral is "partial large subunit ribosomal RNA". The stretch from base 282 to 1077 matches the Rfam family "Eukaryotic large subunit ribosomal RNA", at positions 1 to 640 of the family's 3401-position model. The record is from RNAcentral. Lineage: Eukaryota; Fungi; Neocallimastigomycota; Neocallimastigomycetes; Neocallimastigales.